Molecule: ribosomal RNA, 324 nt
Filed under: uncultured Anoxybacillus sp.
Lineage: Bacteria; Bacillati; Bacillota; Bacilli; Caryophanales; Anoxybacillaceae
Description: bacterial SSU rRNA
Rfam family: Bacterial small subunit ribosomal RNA
Source: RNAcentral
UCAGCUCGUGUCGUGAGAUGUUGGUUAAGUCCGCAACGAGCGCAACCCUCGACCUUAGUUGCCAGCAUUCAGUUGGGCACUCUAAGGUGACUGCCGGCUAAAAGUCGGAGGAAGGUGGGGAUGACGUCAAAUCAUCAUGCCCCUUAUGACCUGGGCUACACACGUGCUACAAUGGGCGGUACAAAGGGUCGCGAACCCGCGAGGGGGAGCCAAUCCCAAAAAGCCGCUCUCAGUUCGGAUUGCAGGCUGCAACUCGCCUGCAUGAAGCCGGAAUCGCUAGUAAUCGCGGAUCAGCAUGCCGCGGUGAAUACGUUCCCGGGCCUU